GCUGCCGCUGCUGGGAUUGCUGUUGCUGCUGUAGUCACGGGUCGCUGCAGCCGCAUAGGAGCUCCGAAUGCGGCCAUCGGGAGAUGGAGAUGCUGCUGCUUCUCCUGCACCUGCCCACGGAUGUCUCACGGACACGACUUCAUGCGCGCUGAGGAGAACUGCGUCGUAGGUGCCUCGUAGGAGCAAGCUGGGACAGGCGGAGCCUUCCGCCGCUGCGGCCGCCGCCGCUGUGGCGGUCGCUGCGGCGAUCGCUGUGUUGGGUGCUUGGGUUGACCGGCAUUGGUUGACCGGCGGGCGGUGCAUGGAGGCGAGCAGCGUGCGAAGAAAAUUAGCCGUGCAUGUCAGUGCACUCAUCGAUUUAUGCGUGGAUGGGGAGCUGGUUAGGGAGCCAGGCGGGAGACAUACGUGUUGGGAAGUACUAAGCAAGCGGCGGCAGUGUAGGGGGGCCCAUGAUUCUGAAGUCAGCUUAAGUUGCUAAGUGGCUGGGAAUACCUGUGUGCGCGUGUGCAUGCGCAUGUGUAUCUAUGGUUACGUAUGUUUCUGCAUUUUUUAUGCGUUUACGUACGUUGGUUCAUGAGUGGUGAAGGUAAGCAGCUUAGCCGCUUCAAAGGCAAUGGUUGGCAAUGGAUUUUUUCCUAUGAGGAAAUGGAAUGCGCGGUGCAGCCAGGUGGCCACAGCUGCCAGGUUCGCCGAUAGUUACAGUCAGGUUUGCAUUCUCCGGGCAUCCCGUAUGUGGCCAUCUCGGCACGGAUUCAGGCGCCCAAGGGGGGGAUAUUUGUGCGUAACGGGCAUAGUUGCAAAGUGUUGCUGAAGGUUGCGAGGCUUUGCCGAGGGUUACAGCAGUAGAAGAAAGAGUACAGCAGGAAGAGUAAAAGGAACAUCCUUUCUUUUCCUGUGAGGUUCAGUCGACGCGAGAAAGUUUCAGGGGUGGCUUCAGUAGACCCGCCAGUUUCUUAAGGGACGCAGUCGCGUAGUAAGGCAAGACCGAUACUUGGAUUGGUCCUCGUGGUAGUUACGCCACAUACUUGCUGUUUGAGCAGAAGAUGUAAGCAGAAGCACCACCAGCGAAACCAAGUAAAAGGAGGCCACCAUCUGCUAACAUCCGCUUGCGUCCAAAAGCUCUGACGCCGUUUUUGAGGAAAAAUGUACAGAGCUUACAAAUAGAUAGCCAAGAUGUGGUAACUGAUUGUAUCAGUGCAGUUCCUGAGUUCGUUCGGCGCCUAUCGAGUAGGUUGAGCGUAGCUGGAUGCGCACAAAGCUAGCCUGCUUCCUUAAAGACUCCUGCAUUUUUACUUGAAAAAGGCUUUGAAGUAGCUGUAGAUUGAGACGACCUGGAAUGCGAUUGAGUUGCCGCUCGUGCACUGAUGGACGAGCGACAAGGAUUUGGAGCGACUUCGCAGCCGUGGCAUCCUUGGCUUCCCGCUUGCGUUUAUGGAUACGAGCCACUUAUGAAUACAUGACUUUCCUGUGGAUCUUGGCGUUCUCAUCUAGCUGUUGGGGCUCCG
Molecule: long non-coding RNA, 1505 nt
Filed under: Volvox carteri
Lineage: Eukaryota; Viridiplantae; Chlorophyta; Chlorophyceae; Chlamydomonadales; Volvocaceae
Description: long non-coding RNA (VCAR_LNC002389)
Source: RNAcentral